GACGAACGCUGGCGGCGUGCUUAACACAUGCAGGUCGAACGGAAAGGCCCUGCUUUUGUGGGGUGCUCGAGUGGCGAACGGGUGAGUAACACGUGAGUAACCUGCCCUUGACUUUGGGAUAACUUCAGGAAACUGGGGCUAAUACCGGAUAGGAGCUCCUGCUGCAUGGUGGGGGUUGGAAAGUUUCGGCGGUUGGGGAUGGACUCGCGGCUUAUCAGCUUGUUGGUGGGGUAGUGGCUUACCAAGGCUUUGACGGGUAGCCGGCCUGAGAGGGUGACCGGCCACAUUGGGACUGAGAUACGGCCCAGACUCCUACGGGAGGCAGCAGUGGGGAAUAUUGCACAAUGGGCGGAAGCCUGAUGCAGCAACGCCGCGUGCGGGAUGACGGCCUUCGGGUUGUAAACCGCUUUCGCCGGUGACGAAGCGUGAGUGACGGUAAUGGGUAAAGAAGCACCGGCUAACUACGUG
This 468-nucleotide ribosomal RNA is filed under the name uncultured bacterium. Its description in RNAcentral is "partial 16S ribosomal RNA". It matches the Rfam family "Bacterial small subunit ribosomal RNA", at positions 28 to 507 of the family's 1533-position model. The record is from RNAcentral.